AGAGGGCCACGAGAGAGGUCACGUCUGUGUUGCAGCCUAAAUGACAAGCAGGAGCCCAGCUGUGCAGGUCUGGGGGAGGGGGCUCUUCCAGCUCUGAUGGCAACUUUCUGGCCUGCAGGAGUUGGGGCCAAGUGAGGGAGGGGGACUUACGGGGGUUUCCCUUCAAGCUGGAGUCCACUUUGACUUGUAGCAUGUCAGGGCCUCUGAGGUCAGCCUUGGGAUGAGCAGGAGGAGGAGGGUCCGUGUGAGGAAGGACAGCAGCUGUGUGUGAUUUGGGUCGAACUGUGGCUCCUCCACCACCCCAGGUACUCUGAAGUCCGAACCCCUGGUGCUGCAGGUCGGGGUCUUACUUGGAAGUGGGGUCCUGGCAGAUGGAAGGCCUCCUUCUGGGGUGGGGGUGCCCCACAAUGCUGCAGUGAACAAUCUGGCUUAUGUGUCCUCAGCCCCCAUCAGAGAGGAUGACAUCUGUGCAGCAAGGCUUUGCCUGGUCCAGAGGCACAGUCACACAUGUCAGUCAUGCUUCCAUGGCUGCCCCUGGACUGGGAGUGAGGUCUCCAUGAGAAACCUCCAGUCCAGGGCCCCUGCACGGAGGGGAGAUGCCAAGUUUCUCUCUGGCCACUUGCCAGGGAGAGUCAGCUCCCGCCGCACAAGCAGUGGCCAUUCGCUCACACAUCACACGUGGACAAGGUGUGUGCCGUGGGCUGUUGCUGGGUUCUGAGACCACCAGGCCCAGCCUGAGAACAGCAGGUGGGUGGCCCUGACCUGGGGCACCCGCUACAGCUGCUGAGCUGCGUCCGAGUUCAAAGUCAUGAACAGCAGGCAAAUCUGCGUGACCUCCCCCUCUCCCCCCAACCCUGUGCCACCCUUACCUAGUCCUCAUGCAUGUGCACAUGUGUGUGGGUGGGAGAGAAGGACUGGACGCAUUCGGCAGGGACGUGAAAAGAAUACACUCAUGUGUGGUGUCACGCCCUCUCCCAGGCAUCGCUGGCUGUCGUCAGGGAGUUUCUAGGUGAGAAGUCUGUGUACUCCUCGUCAGCAGGCCUUGCCUUGGCCCCUGUGCUUGCUCUCGACCUCCUCCAUGAAAACAAGGCUCCUGAACACUGCCAUGGCCAUGGCCAAUGCUAGAGGCAGCCCCAAAAGCUCACGUUCAUGAAACUGUUGAACUUGACCAAGAGUUACAGAAACCUGACUCACACCAUCCUUUAAUUCUGUUUGUGUCCUUUCUUGCCUGGAAUUCAGUAUUUCCUCAAACUAAGUGCGUUGUGAGAAGUGCCCACGCUCCCCAGGAACCAGAGCUGCAGGUGCACACGGAGGAGGGGCUGGCGUGGCUGGGCUGGGGGCAGGGCCCGAGGCACCUGCUGUACCUCCAAGUGUUACUUCUCCUCACCGAAGGCAAGGAGCCUGGGGGUGCCCAGGACGGACAAAAGCCUGAAUCAGAAAAUGACUCACGUAGCAGCCGCGGUGCCUUGUGGUUUCCCAGGUGCUCGCUUUAUUCUAGCAAAGCCCAGAUCCUGCGCUGUCAAGGCGGGGUGCAGGCCGUGUGCUGGCUGGUUGAGUCCUCAAGGCAGCAGGGACAGAGGCUGGGUGACACGGUGCCUUGAGUCACCCCAGCCACCCGGCGGCCCUGUCAGGGCAGCCGCAUCGGAUCCUGAGCACCGGCUCCUCCCGCCCAGCACUCGCCUUUGCGUUUUCAGUUUUUUCUUGCUUGUUCUUUUUCUCACCUGGCACCUGGCCCCGCAGGGAGCAGGGCUUUGCAGCCACCCACUGCACAGAUCAGGUUCCGUCAUUAGCCGGGCUGAAAUCCAACACGAUGACACCCAGCUCCCGGGGGGUGGGGCCCGCUGCCGCCCUGCUCCUGGCUUCUUGGUGAUGUGUGUGUCUGGCAUUCUCUGCAAAGCAAAGUUGUUGUUUUUGUUUUUGUUUUUAAAUCGGAAAGCCCCCAGUAAUGCAGAUGUGGUGCAGAUACGUGCGUCAGCACUGUCAGAGCACGGACUCAGGGCUUGUGUGGAACCUGGCAGCUUAGCGUUGCUGCUGCUAGCAGCUCCCGGGGGUGUGUGCAGAGCAGACGGCCUUCCGGGAAGCUGCUCACUAGGUACCUGGUCUCUUACGCCCGCGUGGAGCACUCCUGUGUUGGGCCGCGUUUUCUGGACGUCUAAUGACCACAGACCGCGUGCACUUGCUGCCUAAGUCUACCGCGGGUCCUCUGUGAGUAAGGGAAGCUGCUCAUUUUGCCCCCUGACUGUGCCCCGUGGAGUCCAGGGGCCUUUCCAAGCUCAGACCUUCCCGGCCAGGCUCAACUGCACAGGUGCCGUGUCAGCAAGUUCACAAGGCCAGCGCCACGUUUGUUGUCAAACCUUGUCACUGUCCUUGUACAGAUGAUGCUGUGGCGCUGACUGGCGGCUGGCCUGUCCACUCAGCAGAAGCAAAAUCUGCAUCCCCAGUGGGCCAAAGCUCAUUCCCGAUCACUAAAGCUCAUUCCCGGUCACUAAGAACCGGUGCCGAGAGAGAGCUGGAACACUGCUCAGACCUGGAGCUGGUGGCCCAAGGACCAGACAUGAUUACAAGCACUUGCAGGUGAAAUCCGGGAGACAGCACAGCGUGCAGAAGGCCCAGCGCUGGUCAACGAUGGGUCCCAAAGACGGUUGAUUAGCAAGCGCCUGUCGGCACGCGCCUAAGUCAAGAGCGCUUCUGCCAGUCCCCAGGGCCAGGUGAGGCGGGCAUUCAAGCUGUGACCCAGGUAGCACAUGGGACCUGCUCUCUGUCCACAGCCCUUCAGUUACUGUGACAGGAUAGCCGUUCCCUCUGUGUGUAUCCCAGGCCGGGAGUACUCCUGGCGUCCCGUUCUGUGGCAGCCACGUAAAUGAGUGGGUUGGGGGCGGUGUGCUGUGUUUUCCCAGGAUGCUCACUGUAGUAGAUCUUAUUUUCUGGGGAAGCUUUAGAAGGAUCGAGAAGAAUGUACAGAUAACACACUCCCCCCCCCACACACACACACCAAGCACCCGGUUUCCCCCGUUGUUGAUGUCUGUUGUUACGGUGCUACCCCCUUAGAAAGCGUGAACCACCAUCCGCACCUCGUGGUGAAGGCCCCUGCUUUCCUCCCCUGGCCUCAGCUUUCAGCUGCCGCCCUCGCUGUGGUCCAGGAUCCGCCUGGCUGAGCAUUUCCUGAGCGCUGGCAGUCUGCAAGGUGCUGGUCGGGGUACUGGUUUACAGGUGUGCUGGUCAGGGUACUGGUUUGAAGGGUGCUGGUCGGGGUGCUGGUUUGCAGGGUGCUGGUGAGGGUACUGGUUUGCAGGGUGCUGGUCGGGGUACUGGUUUGAAGGGUGCUGGUCGGGGUACUGGUUUGCAGGCAUGCUGGUCGGGGUACUGGUUUGCAGGGUGCUGGUCAGGGUUCUAGUCAGCUGUGUUGUUGGAUUCCCUCUCUUGGAGUCUUUCUGCUGUUCUCAGGAUCGGGCUUGAGCUCCGAGUUUGGGGCAGGGGCGCCAUUCCCAUCACGUCGAGCCUGCUGCCCAGGCUGGCGACACCAGGACUCCCCGCGGAGAAGUGACUCUGCCCUGUACACUCCGCACAGGGCUCUUUGGAAUGAAGUCACCGCACACGGCCCACGCCUUUCCACACUGGCCCUGGAGUUCUGCCCAGGGGACCUGUCUCUUCCGCCUGGUUGUGGGUUCAGCCUGUCACUCAUCUGCGUCCGUGUGGAUGUCAGUGGGCUGGACCGGCACUGCACUCUGGAGAUCUGCCCCUGUUGCCCCAGCUCAGCCGUCUCGGGUGCCCCUCGGAGCCUCCUUCAGCCUGCCCGUCCUCCCUCUCUCCCUGAUGCUCCGGGCUCCCUUGCAUUUUUCCUGCCCCAGUCCUGGGUUCAUCUUUCCUGCCCCAGUCCUGGGUUCAGCCGUUUCUUCCAGGGAGCCCUGAUCCUCUCGCUUGGCAAAUGGUCUGCAGGGGGGUGCGCGUUGCCACUGGCUGUCAUCGCUCCUUGGCUGUGCCAGCAGACAACAAAGAAACGUAUGUGUGUGUCCUGGCCUUGCUGUAUACACACAUCUGUAAAUAUUUUGAUACAUAACCAUCUGUGUCUACCACACGAUAUCCGACUGUAGCAGAUUUGCUAGCUCUGAUAUUCCACCUCCACGGUGCAGCCUUUGAAAGGGACAGUUUGGGACACGGUUGCAACAUAGUUUGCUCCAUCACGCAUUCCUCUUGGCGUAAACCGGUAUGAGAUGCACUUUGUUCCUGCCAUCACGUGAAGGCAUUGUUCCAGCAUGUUCUUGCGUAAAGCUGAACCACGGUGUUGUGUCUGAUUCUGAAGGAGGACACGAAACAAACGAGACGUGACUUGGCGUCAGCGCUGCGGCGCUUUGCAGGGCUCCCGGGGUAACCGCGGCCUCCCUCUGUUAAUCGUUGCCAGUCACCCAGGACAGGCUGAGAAGUUGCGAAGUUACAGUCGCAGCAAUUUUAUAGCAAGAAAUCUGUUAGUGUUUAAAGGGAUGUGUUCCCCAGUGGCGAGCAGAGUGAGGCGCUGGGAAUCCUUCUGCCUCCCCCCUCGGAUCUCUACACCUGGUUAACUCUCGGUUAAGGACCCCGAUCUCCUGGUUAACUAAGUCUCUCGGAUGAGGACCCCGUUGGGAGUCUCCGGGGGAGGCCCUGAGUGGCAGAGGCACAGAGGCCUGCCUUCUCGGGUCCCCCUGGCCGCCUCUGAGGGGAGCGGGACCAGCUGGGUGACCCCGAGCGGGUGGCUCCGCCGCCGCCCACUGUUGAGGCUGGUGGUCCAGUGAUCACAGCCCCUCAAUUACGGCCCCGUGCGAGCCCCAGCAGCAGUCAUGAGAUAAUUACGGCUUUGAUGAGUCGCUCCAGCCAGUCGCCGCCUUUGAAACAGGAUAGCACAAUUUGGAGUUUUAUUAAGAAACAAUUUUUUUUUCUGGAACUGUUGGAAGAUAGUUUGUAUUUGGGGGAAAAAAGAGAAAUUCGAGAAAGGGCUGCAGUGUGCCUGUGGAGGAGGCCGAGGAGAACAAGGACAGAGACUGCUUCCCAUUACCUCACCCUCCUGUCUCGGGAGGGUGCAGGUGGCCCCAGCGGGCCGGCCCCUGCCCAACGACGCCCACCUCCCAGAGCCGGGAGCCAGUGCUGGACAAGGUUGGCAAGAGAUGGGGUGGGUGGCAGAAAGAGCAAGAGAAGGGGUACGGGAUUGGCGGCCACUCCUGCCCACUGCCCCGGCCAGCUGUGUGACCACCAGAGCUGCGUUCCCUUCACACCCUCGUCCGUCCGUCCGUCCUGCUUGGAAAGACCGAUCUGAACCUCACUCAUCUCUUUGUGGAGAAUUUGGUUUGCUCUGCGUGUGCGUUUUCGGUUUUGAAUGACAAGCGUUGGGUCUCGUGAUACGAAACGGUCAGAACGCACAGUGUGCUGGACCCCGGCGGGCCAGGUGCUCUUGGUGAUGCCGAGGACCCAGCCAGACCCUUGUCACACACCCUGAAGGAGCAGUGCCAGGGGCCCGGGCAGCCCAGGGUGAGUGUCCCGGGGCGCCAUGCGCAGCCUCCCCGUGAGAAGGUGGAGACACGUAUCCCCCACUCACUGCUUCUGAGAACCUGCCAGACCGGAAACCCACAGCGCAAACACGCUGGCAAGUGCUCUACUUCCUCUCACGACGUAUUUUCACUCCUGUGAAAAGUGAACACUCAGGGUGUUGCACAGAAGUGACCCCAUUAACCUCGGGUACUCCGAGCCCUGGAUCUGCAGCCCAGCCUGCUUCGGCCCCACGGAGCGCCAGCUCUUCCCCUAAUCUGGACGGCUGCGUCCAUGCACAUCCCAGAGUCUUUGCUUGGUUGUCUCUGCCGUUUUCCGGGUUUAAUGGCAUUUCCUGUGUGCAUCUGCGUGGGCCUGACUCUCACAGAAGCCUGGGCCAUGUUCAGAUCUUAAGAGCUGUAACCAAGCCGCCAGUGCGGAAAUUGCACUCACUGUGAAGAAAGCCAUUAGGAGUUACCGGGAAUCAAGUUAAAAAUUUCUAACGAAGGGCUGAUUACACAUCUCAUGCGUUUUACUUAGUGUUUUCUGUGUUCUGACUUCAAAUAAUGGAGAGACGAGGAGUCUUCCAGAAACUGAUGAUGACAAACCCAGCGGCUGCCUUGACUCGGGUCCGCGUAUUUGCUUGGCCUCAGCUUCUGCUGACUGCCAAGGCCCCUUCCCAGACGUGCCCACCUCUCCCCUCCUCCAGCUGUGUCCAGGACACAGCCACACCUCAGCCCCUUCGCAGCUGCUGGAGAAAAUUCAUGUCAAGUCAGAACCUUCCAGGCUGUUUCUUGGGGCCAGGGUGGGGGACCUUAUAGAAGAACCACAUUUCCUCUGUCUUGUUGAGCAAAUGAAUAUCAAGUGUCCAGCACAAAAGAAAUCCCCAGUCUCUGCCCUCACGGACAAAAGCUCAUGGGAUUCUGGGCAUGGAAGUGACAUUGAACUGCAGCACAAUCCGUUCACACCCGCAGAGCUUCCGAGGUGGGGAGGUGAUUUUUAUGGAUGGAGUCCUGGUGCCAGGAUCAGCCUGAAGCACCCAUAGGAGUCCGGUGCUCCCCCUGCACACGUGGUAUCAGUCCCACAGGAGUCAGGUGCCCCCCUGCACACGUGGCAUCAGUCCCACAGGAGUCAGGUGCUCCCCCUGCACACGUGGCAUCAGUCCCACAGGUGCUCGCCCUGCACGCGUGGCAUCGGCCCCCUCAGGGCUGUGCUCCCUGCCACGGUCGUCACUCUGUUGUCCUCAGAGGUGCGAGUCUACAUUCCCGUGUCUCCAGAAGCCGGUGGCACACCUCUGCACCCAGCCCUUCCUCGGUGCAGGUGGAAGGACCCUAUUAGUCCUCGUAAUUGAUUCUGAGCGCUGCAGCGUGCCUCAUUUAGCCAGCCCCAUUCCCUGCACGCCCGGGAUGUAAUUCAUGCACACUUGAACAUCCAACAUGGCUGACGAGGCUUGGACGUAACCUCACGGCGGCAUCAUUUUUUAAUCAGCUAUCUGAGGAAUAUUUAUCUAAUCAACAAAGAACGCUGUCAGGAGGAGAGCAGAGGUGGCAUUAAUAAGGCUGUGGCUUCGCCGUACAGUGAUGGAGGAAGAGUUGGGAUGAACCCUGCUCGCGUGAGCGUGGUGGCAGACCUGGGCAGAUUUUUGUUCGAUUGUACAGAGCUCGUCAAAGGAUGCCCUGGUUGGACGCUGCUGUCCGGGAUCACUUUCCCGGCAGUCUCUGUAGUCAAAUUUAAAUUUUUUUAGUUGUCUAGAGAACCAAAUGAGCCGAAAUAUCCCUUCAUUUUUUUAUUUGCUUUUAUUUUAUUGGAAAGGCAGAUACCCACGGCAGUCGGAGCUGGGCCAGGCCAGAAUGGGCAAGCAGGGCCCAAGUACUUAAGCCAGCACCCUGCGGAAGCAGAGGCGAGACUCCCACCAGUCACUCCAGUGUGGGAGCAGACAACCCAAGUGAGGGCUUACGCCCACUGCAGCACAGCAUCCGUCCCCUGAAAUCUUCCUUUGAAAUAAAAGUUAAGGUUGGAGGGGCUGGCGCUGUGCCACAGUGGGUUAAAGCCCCAGCCAUAUGGAUGCCAGUUCAAGUCCUGGCUGCUCCUCUUCUCAUCCAGCUCUCUGCUGUGGCCUGGGAAAGCAGUAGAAGAUGGCCCAAGUCCUUGGGCCCCUGCACCCGUGUGGGAGGCCCGGAAGAAGCUCCUGGCUCCUGGCUUCAGAUCAGCUCAGCUUUGGCCGUGACAGUCAUUUGGGGGAGUGAACCAGUAGAAUGGAAGAUCGAUCUCUCUCUCUCUCUCUCUCUCUCUCUCUGGCUCAACCUCUCACUGUAACUCUUUCAAAUAAAUAAAAAUAUCUUGAAAAAGAAAAAAAAAAGGUUGGCGUCUGUCGCACCAUGGCUUUUCCAGUGGCUGCUGCUGGAAGGUGGGGAGGCCUCGGAGAGUGACUGUGGCUUAUGCCCUCCGUGGGACUAUUUCUCAGCUCUGUGGGAAGGAACAACAAAACAUGAAGGAUGUAGUAAUAAAUUAUUUACUGUGAGAAAAGAAUGAGUGGGGUUAGUGUCAUGGCAUAGCCAGCGAAGGCGCUGCCUGCGAUGCCUGCAUCCCAUCUGGGUGCCGGUUCGAAUCCCAGCUGCUCCACUUCCAAUCCAGCUCUCCGCUAAUGCACCUGAGAAGGCAGCGGAAGAUGGCCCAAGUCCUUGGGCCCCUGCACCUGCGUGGGAGACCUGGCAGAAGCACCUGGCUCCUGGCUUCAGCCUGGCCCAGCCCCAGCUCUUGCAGCCAUCUGGGGAGAGAACUAGCAGACGGAAGUUGUUUUUCCCUCUCUCUCUCUCUCCCUCCCUCCUUUUCUCCCUCCCUCUGUGAUUCUGCCUUUCAAAUAAAUAAAUAAAUCUUCUAAAAAUAAAAAGAACCAAAUAACAGCAGAAGUGCUUCUGAGGGCAUGAACCCACCGCAUAGCUGAGGCUCCCACAGAUGCGGGGCUGUGCCGUCGCUGGCCGUCCUCACCUCUGAGUGAUUCCAGCUACUCUGACCCAGCAGAAAGCUGUAGUCCAUACAUGUUCCCUUUCCGUCUCUCUCUGCGAGGUGCACGACUGUGAGUGGUUACAGGAGCCGAGUGUAUUAUGCCACACCUCAUUCGGUCAUCUGGAUACCAGACCCGUGGUUUAUAAUUCUCGGACUCCCUAAAGCAAUGAUCUGUGAGUUAGAGCCGGGGCCAGCCUUCAGAUGCGUGGCUCGGGGUGUGCGGCAGCUCAGAGGCGCGUCAGCAGGUGGCCCACCCGCUGCUGCAGAUGAGGCCAGGGCAGGAUUUUGGCGUUGCAGUGGAGUUAACUGUUUGGUUGGGACACCCACACCCCACAUCAGGGUGCCUGGGUCCAAGUCCCUAGGUUAGCACCCCAGCUCUUCUCCUGACUCCAGGUUCCUCCUGAUGAACACCCAGGAGUCAGCGGGCAGUGACGGCGCAAGCACUUGGGUCCCUGCCACCCACGUAGGAGACAUUGAGUUCUGGGAUAUCCACACACUUGUCCACGUUAGCAUGUUGGUACCAGGUGGCGCCACGCGGGCCUCUCUUUGUAAGUCAGGGAUUGUACUGGAACGAACCUAAGCAGGAAGGCUCCUUGUUCACUUCAAGGGAAGUCUGCACCGGCACGGUCCCCUUACACGGCGUUCAGGCUUGUGCCGGGGGAGUGCGGGCGUCUCCGCGCACUAUCUGACCCGAGCCGUUGAGAGCUGUAGUGCUUAGCAUCCCGCACAGCGGCCAGAGUGGUGCAGGGCUUCCCCUCUCUGUCUGUGCUUCCCCUGCACCGCCUCUCGCUGUCAGGCCCACGUGGCAGCCUUGUGUUCGAUCCAAGCUCCCCACUCAGGCCUUGGCGCCAUUAUGGGGACAGCGCUGUCCCGCUAACAGCUUCCUUUCCCCAGGCUCGCUGACUUGUCUGCCAGUCCAGAGCGGAGCUCGGAAGGUCCUACUUAACUUGCAGAACAAAGGGAGAAGAGAGCAGUGGGCAUCCGCUCCCAGGCUGAUAGGCAGUCGGCACCUUGUGGGGCUCAGCAUCUGAUCGUGCGCGCCGUGCAGGCGGUGCAGACGCCGUGCCGCGCACGCAGCCCUGUGCAGUGCGGGCAAGCCUGCAGCGGGACAGCUGAGCUCAAGUCGCUGACGGGGGCUCGUACCCCCUGCCCUGUGGUCUGAUCUCAGGUGAUAUUCCCAUGUCAGAGUAAUAUAGUUCUGGGGAAAACGGCGUCCACGAGAAAAAUCAAACUAUCAUCCUUGUUGUCAAAAGGAAGAAAAUCUUUGCCUGAAAGUAGACUCGUCCGGUGUUUUUAGCUGAAAUAAAGGGUGCCCACAAAAUGUAGUCUGGUUAGCUUGUCUGCGCGAGGCCCUAGCGAUCUCCCGAGGCCUGCAGGCAGGGGGCGCCGCCCGUGCAGGCUCUGGCAGGUGUCACACAGCGAGCUCCGGUUCCAUCUGACACUGUCCCCGUACCCCUGGCAGGGGAUCAGGCAGCUGCAUCAAACACAGCCCGAGAUGUUAUCGAUGAUAACGUGAUUGUAUUUUCUCGUCCAGAGGCUUCUAAACAAGGGGACUUGAGCAAUCAAUGCCCCAGGAGACAAAUGCACGUAUCAGGACCUUGGCUUCAGCCAGGAAAGAGCCAUUUGUUCAGACGUGGGGAGAGGCAUGACAUUCCACACAUUAACAUUGAUUAUUUCAUCAAUAGGUUAAUAGAAAACCAGGCCGCAAGUUCACUUCCUGCUUAUCCAUCCCCACGGUAAUGGGGCCCAGAGAGUGCACAGUGCAGGGGAAAGAGGCUGCCUGCACUUGAGCCUGCCUCCUUCCCAGGGGCGCGGAUUUGGAUGUAAAUGCUCUGGGAGGAGGUGAGUGCAGCUCCAGGCGGUGCAGCCCCUUCCUGGCUCCUUCGUCCUGAAAGAGGUGGACAGGGCCGCAGACGCUGGGUCUCCUCUGCGGACAAAGGAAGUGCGUUCUCCCGACUCGGCAUGGUCCAGUCAGCGGAACCUGCCGAUGGUCGUUCUGCGUCUCUUUGGGUUUUUUUUUUUAAAGAUGUGUUUAUUUAUUUGAAAGUCAGAGUUGCAGAGAGAGGGAAAAACAGAGAGACGGAGAUCUUCCAUCCACUGGUUCAUUCCACGGAUGGCCGCAACAGCCAGGACUGCGCCAGGCCAAAACCAAGAGCCAGGAGCCGGGAGCUCCUGUGGGGUCUCUCACGGGAGCGGCAGGGGCCCAAGUGCUGGGACCAUCUUCCGCGUGGUCAGAAGUGAAGUAGUGGGGACUUGAACCUGCGCUCAUACAGACUGCGGGCAUCCAGCGGUGCAGCAACACCUUCAGCAUUUCUCUUUCUUUCUUUGAAAGGCAGUCACACAGAGAAAGAAAGGCAGAGCGAGAGAGAGAGAGAGGUCUUCCGUCUACUGGUUCACUCCCCAAAUGUCUGCAGUGGCCUGAGCUGGGCCGAUCCAAAGCCAGGAGCUUCAUCUGGGUCUCCCACAUGGGUGCAGAGGCCCAGGCACUUGGGCCAUCCUCUACUGCCUUCCCAGGCCCCUUAGCAGGGAGCUGGUUUGGAAGUGGGGCAGCUGGGACUCGGACCAGUGCCCAUAUGGGAUGCCGGCACCGCAGUCAGUUUCUCAACCCGAUAUGCCACAGUGCCGGCCCCAUGAUCAGCAUCUCUAAAGCCAUGCUGAUCCUCCUUCCAGGUGUGGCCUUACCUGGGACAGGUGCUCAGGCCAGCCCUCAUGGGAAACCCCAGAGAGACCCAUGGACUAUAGAAGGGCUCGGCUGCCAGGCCUGCAGGUGACGUUUCUUACUAAAUUGUUGAUUUUCAGACCACGGAGUAGUUCACAGGUGUUCAGUUAGGAGUCUUCCUCUGUUGAAAUCAAGAGACAACUAAACCGCAGCUGGUCUCUCCCUCCGCCCUUCAUGGCGAAUGCAAAAUUUGCAUCCAUAUCGGAAAGUUCACAGCGGACUUUAUCGCGACACAAAAAAAGGUUGGAACCCACCCGUAAUUUCUCCACGCUGGGCACCCUCCGGCGUUUCGAAGACUCCCUGGGGAGGCUGUGCUUCAGAACCACAUUCACCUCCUUAAAAGUCCAGGAUUCCAUCGGAGCACUACGAGCCCAGAACAGAUUUGCUCAGUAGCGACACCCCGCACAGGGGCCGCGUGGUGACGCGGGGUCACUGGCCACCGAGGCCUGGUACCCACACAGCCUACAACCCACGUGCAGAAGGCGCUGCCCGGGGCUGAGUCUUCCGCUGUCACGCCGCAGGCAGGCCCGAGCAGCUGACCCGUCCUACGGUCCUGCGUCAUUCGCACCUUGGGGUCAGCAUCGGGGUUGCUGCUCGGCCGCCAGGGCGGCCUGGCCCAGGUGAGGCCUCACCUGUGCUGAACACACGGUGACCCAAGCGGAGCCGUGGGUGCUCUGACGCUCUCUCACCUGCUGUGUGGUGGCAGCACAUGUGACGGUGACAUUGCCGGGCCGGGCGUGUGUGUGUGCCUGCGUGGCAGGCCCACCGUCCGGCCCCUGCGUCGGAGGCUCUGUCCAGCUGUGUCUGCGUGAAGACUGCUCCGCAGGAGCCACCGGGUCUAACUCUCCCGUUGUUACACGAUGUCCCCUGGGAGGCCAGGAGGUCAGCCUCCUCCAUGCGGGGUCGUGGGCAGCCCUGAGCUGACUGCCGGGAGGGUGAGGAGGUGUCCGUGAGGCAGUCUGGAGGCCGGGGGUCCCGUUUACCCACUUGGUCACGACACACAGGGGUCGCCUGUGCCCAUGUCCGGUUGGUUCUGCGAUCACCCUGACCCCAGCCCCACUCUGUGGAUGGCCGGCUGUCUGUGCUUUUUGGCUGAGGGCUUAAUCCCCACUCGGAGCCUGCACCGUCCCUCAACGAUACCAGGGCCUGCUGCCGUGAGGGACUGUCCAGACCAAAAUCUGCCUGGAUAAAACCGCCCCGUUCUGUGAAAGCUCAGGGCCUCAAGCACCUGCCCUCUGGUAACCCCCCGGGGUCUCGUGGGAUUCGGCCUACUCCCAGAGCUCUGCCAGUCAGAGGCCUUGCGGCUGCUGGGGUCCAGCUCCUUGCAAAGGUGCCGUCAGCCGCCGAGGAGAAGGGCCAGUUGGUUGCCAUUUGGAGUGGCCAGGGGCUUGCAGAGGUGGCGCAUGGACCGCUUUGCCUGGGCACGUCUUUGUUUUCGCACAAACCCAGUGGCGCUGACGCCCGCCUGCCCGCCCGCCCUUGCUGAGUUCUCGUGCUAAAGGCCAGGGGAGUGGAGGUCCCUGGCCCGCGGUGCCCCUGGCUUCCCCGGGAACUGACGUCACCUGCUGCUGAGUCACCUGCUGCUUUGACAUCUCUUUUCUCCCCUUUUCAUUGGUUUUUUCUUUUCCUUUUUGUUCUCUCUCUUUCUCCCCCUCUCCCCUCUCUGCUCUCGGG
Molecule: non-coding RNA, 12892 nt
Organism: Oryctolagus cuniculus (rabbit)
Lineage: Eukaryota; Metazoa; Chordata; Mammalia; Lagomorpha; Leporidae
Source: RefSeq, a predicted model, not a curated record